RNAcentral lists this ribosomal RNA (468 nucleotides) under uncultured bacterium. RNAcentral's name for it is "partial 16S ribosomal RNA". It matches the Rfam family "Bacterial small subunit ribosomal RNA", at positions 28 to 507 of the family's 1533-position model. The record is from RNAcentral.
GACGAACGCUGGCGGCGUGCUUAACACAUGCAAGUCGAACGGAAAGGCCCUGCUUUUGUGGGGUGCUCGAGUGGCGAACGGGUGAGUAACACGUGAGUAACCUGCCCUUGACUUUGGGAUAACUUCAGGAAACUGGGGCUAAUACCGGAUAGGAGCUCCUGCUGCAUGGUGGGGGUUGGAAAGUUUCGGCGGUUGGGGAUGGACUCGCGGCUUAUCAGCUUGUUGGUGGGGUAGUGGCUUACCAAGGGUUUGACGGGUAGCCGGCCUGAGAGGGUGACCGGCCACAUGGGGACUGCGAUACGGCGCAGAAGCCUACGGGAGGCAGCAGUCGGGAAUAUGGCAGAGUGGGCGGACGCCUGAUGCAGCAGCGCCGCGUGCGGAAUGAUGGCCUUCGGGGUAUGAACCGCUUUCGCCGGUGACGAAGCGUGAGUGACGGUAAUGGGUAAAGAAGCACCGGCUAACUACGUG